RNAcentral lists this ribosomal RNA (477 nucleotides) under uncultured bacterium. RNAcentral's name for it is "partial 16S ribosomal RNA". It matches the Rfam family "Bacterial small subunit ribosomal RNA", at positions 28 to 506 of the family's 1533-position model. The record is from RNAcentral.
GAUGAACGCUGGCGGCGUGCUUAACACAUGCAAGUCGAACGGGAAAUAUUUCAUUGAGACUUCGGUGGAUUUGAUUUAUUUCUAGUGGCGGACGGGUGAGUAACGCGUGGGUAACCUGCCUUAUACAGGGGGAUAACAGUCAGAAAUGGCUGCUAAUACCGCAUAAGCGCACAGAGCUGCAUGGCUCAGUGUGAAAAACUCCGGUGGUAUAAGAUGGACCCGCGUUGGAUUAGCUAGGUGGUGGGGUAACGGCCCACCAAGGCGACGAUCCAUAGCCGGCCUGAGAGGGUGAACGGCGACAUUGGGACUGAGACACGGCCCAGACUGCUACGGGAGGCAGCAGUGGGGAAUAUUGCACAAUGGGGGAAACCCUGAUGCAGCGACGCCGCGUGAAGGAAGAAGUAUCUCGGUAUGUAAACUUCUAUCAGCAGGGAAGAUAGUGACGGUACCUGACUAAGAAGCCCCGGCUAACUACGU